AGAAAACUACCGGCCCAAUUUAUGCACAAAACAGUGAACAAAAAAUAUAUAUAUAACCACUGAAUUACACGCUCCUGGCUUUGGACAGGCACAUACAGAAUAUGGCGGGAUUAAACAUGUUAGCGGGCACCCAACCCACCACCUAACCGUACAUUAAAUGUCGUAUGGUAAAAACUUUCAAAAAUGCUAUCAAAUUAGAAAUCGGACGUGUGUAUCUGUAUGCUUAGCCAUAUUUGCAUCUGUCGAGUUAUUGUAUUUUCCUACCUUUGAUAACUAUUCCUACCAAUUUACACUUUCGUAUACAUAAGGAUUUUUUUACAUGUACAAAUUUCCUCCAAGAGUGUUUCGACAAUAUAACGGAUAUUAUGGGUUGCUGUCUGCAUGUUAUGGUGGGAAAUUAUUAUUUUCAUACAUGCAUAUUGGUUAUAAUCAUACCAAAGCAUAAUUUAAUACAUGCAAAAUUCAUUGACAAACGCAAUAUUGUGUCAACGAAGCGUACAGUAUAAAAAGGUGUAACGACAACGAAGCGUACACAACAUGAAAAUAAAGACACUUUAAAACGUGUAUUUUUUUGUUUCUAGAUACAACAA
RNAcentral lists this long non-coding RNA (590 nucleotides) under Mytilus galloprovincialis (Mediterranean mussel). Lineage: Eukaryota; Metazoa; Mollusca; Bivalvia; Mytilida; Mytilidae. The record is from RNAcentral.